RNAcentral lists this ribosomal RNA (499 nucleotides) under uncultured bacterium. RNAcentral describes it as "partial 16S ribosomal RNA". It matches the Rfam family "Bacterial small subunit ribosomal RNA", at positions 28 to 507 of the family's 1533-position model. The record is from RNAcentral.
GAUGAGCGCUGGCUGCGUGCCUAAUACAUGCCAGUCGAGCGGACCAAACAGGAGCUUGCUCUUUUUUGUUUAGCUGCGGACGGGUGAGUAACACGUGGGUAUCUUGCCCGUGAGACCGGGAUAACUCCGAGAAACCGGAGCUAAGACCGGAUAACAACGAAGUCCGCAUGGUCCUUGGGUGUAGGGUGAAUUCUGUUGCCACUUACGGUUGGGCUGGGUGCGCAUUAGCUAGUGGGUGAGGUAAGGGCUCCCCAAGGCGAGGACGCGUAGCCGGCCUGAGGGGGGGAGCGGCAAAACUGGGAAGGAGACACGGCCCAGACUUCUACGGGAGGCAGCAGUAGGGAAUCUUCCGCAAUGGACGAAAGUCUGACGGAGCGACGCCGCGUGAGCGAAGAAGGUCUUCGGAUCGUAAAGCUCUGUUGUUAGGGAAGAAGAAGCGCCGUUCGAACAGGGCGGCGCGGUGACGGUACCUAACGAGAAAGCCCCGGCUAACUACGUG